RNAcentral lists this unclassified non-coding RNA (971 nucleotides) under Hevea brasiliensis (rubber tree). Lineage: Eukaryota; Viridiplantae; Streptophyta; Magnoliopsida; Malpighiales; Euphorbiaceae. The record is from RNAcentral.
GGGACCCACACCUCGAGUACGGCGGCUGGGAAUUUUGUGAAAGGUGCUUCAUUCUUUGGCUAUGCCCCAGGAACUGCAAGUGGAGUGGCUCCCAGGGCCCGUGUAGCCGUGUAUAAGGCCCUUUGGGGCGAAGGUGCUACUUCUUCUGAUAUAAUUGCUGCAAUUGAUCAAGCAAUUAUUGAUGGAGUUGAUGUGUUAUCCCUAUCAUUUGGCUUAGACGGGAUUCCUUUGUAUGAAGACCCCAUUGCCUUGGCGUCAUUUGCGGCCUUAGAAAAGAAUAUAUUUGUGUCAACUUCCGCAGGAAACCAAGGGCCUUCAUUUGAGACAAUACACAACGGAAUUCCCUGGGUGCUAACUGUUGCAGCUGGUACUGUAGACCGUGAAUAUGAUGCGGUUUUCACACUUGGCAAUGGAGUUUCAGUCACUGGCUUAGCUCUUUAUCCUGGGAAUUAUACUUCUACUCAAGUUCCAAUUGUUUUCUUGGAUGCAUGUCUUAGUGAACAAUUGAAUAAUGUUAGGCAAAAAAUUGUUGUCUGCCAAGACAGGAAUUUUUCCUUAGCCGACCAAUAUGAAAACCUAAGGAACGCUAAUAUCACCGGAGGUAUCUUCAUAACAAAUUUCAGAGACCUGGAAUAUUUUAUCCUAAGCCAAUUUCCAGCAAUAUUUGUGAAUCCAAAGGAUGGGGAAACCAUCAAGGAUUUCAUCAAGAGUAGCACCAAGCCACAGGCAAGCAUGGAGUUUCGGAAAACAAAUCUGGGUAUUAAAGCAGCUCCAAGUCUCACUAGCUACAGCUCUAGAGGACCAUCCCUAAGUUGCCCGUUUGUCAUGAAGCCUGACAUUAUGGCGCCUGGUUCUUUAAUCUUAGCUGCAUGGCCUCAAAACGUUGAAGUGAUGAGAAUCAACUAUGAACCACUAUUCAGCAACUUCAAUAUCCUGUCCGGAACAUCCAUGGCUAGCCCAAAUGCAGCAGG